This is a long non-coding RNA of Zingiber officinale, 1473 nucleotides long. RefSeq lists it as uncharacterized. NCBI's taxonomy places the organism in Eukaryota, Viridiplantae, Streptophyta, Magnoliopsida, Zingiberales, Zingiberaceae. The record is from RefSeq and is a predicted model, not a curated record. The transcript is spliced from 10 exons.
CAUUUCCAACAGUUAUCUCAUUGAGGAACUGGAUCGAAGGAUUGGCCAAGUUCUUUUUAGGUUUUGUUUUGUGAAUCUUCAUCAACUUCUGUAAAGUGAAUAGCAUUGUCGUUUUCAAAUUUUCCCACUAUCGUAUUCCGUUUGAGCUGAAGUGCGACAAAUUUUAAGGAAAAUCUGCUAUAUUAGUUGAUGAGACGCUGAAGUUGGUAGACUGCAGGCAACAACACAAAAAACUAGCGGCUCUAGAGAUGGAGCUUGCUGCGGCAAGACACAAAGGGUUUGUUGGAGAGUACUCUUCAGAGACCAACGGGACUUUUUCAAAGAAAAGACUUCUGGUUGUUAUAGGAAUAGCUACAGGAUUUGAACGGAAAAAACAUAGGGAUGCAGUUCGAAAGUCAUGGCUUUCAACUGGUGCAGACUUGCAGUGCAGCAAUGAAAAAAUUGGAAUUAGAAAAAGGUGUGGUAGCACGAUUUGUUAUAGGGAGUAGUGCAAAUCGUGGAGAUAGUGCAGAUAGAGAGAUUGACAAUGAAAAUUGGAAGACAAAAGAUUUCAUCAUACUUGGGAAAGGGGUCGAGGUGUUGUGAUAAGAAGUUGUUGCCUUGGUUUCCUUUGGUGAUGCAUGACUAUAGCAUGAAGUGAUCUCGGCUCUCUCAAGAAAUGUAUGUUUAUAGAAUGAAUAUAACACCGCUUCUCAUGUAGGUAUGAUAUGAAUGAGUAUGUUCUUGUUGUAUGGAUAAUGGGAUGUAUAUGUGCAUGUGUGGUGACGGUACGAGAUGGUGCCAUGGGAUGAGCUCCGGGGAGGGCCCUUCCAAAUAUGAACGAUGCUUUGGGCACAAUGCUUGCAACUCACUUGGACAAACAUCGUGCAUACAUUGGGUGUAUGAAAUCUGGCGAAGUUUUCUCUGACAAGAAUCAAAUGUGGUUUGAACCAGAGUGGUGGAAGUUUGGUGAUGGAAAAUUGCACGCUUCUGGAGAAAUGUUUGUGGUUUCUAGAGCUCUAGCACAGUUUAUUUCCAUUAACAGGGCUAUUCUUCGCACAUAUGCACAUGACGAUGUUAGUAUUGGAUCAUGGAUGAUUUGGUCUUAACGUGAAGCAAGUUAAUGAGGGAAAAUUAUGCUGCUCCAAGUGAUCAUCAGGAGCUGUAUGUGCUGCUCUAUGAAAAGUGCACAAUAAGAAACGUUGGCAUGGUGGAUUUUGUCCAAUCCUCUUCGAUCGUAUGACAAAAUGGAGCAUGGACUCAAUUUAGGAGUAAAUUGCUGAGAACAUCGCAGAUGCCAUGUCAGAAUUGUGUGGGAAAGAAGAGCUGCAGCAUAAGUGUUCUAAGAGUUGGCUUUUCCUCAGAAGAAACAAAGUUGAUUUCCUUAGGCUGAGAGCUUUGUGUUGAUCUGUAAAGUACAUUAUUCACACUUCUUUCAGAUGCUAUAUGUAAUCUUUAAUUAACCGCAAUUUCAUUUUUCUUGGAGAAAAUGUU